GCGAGGGUGGCGGAACUGGCAGACGCACUAGACUUAGGAUCUAGCGCCCUAGGCAUGAGGGUUCGAUUCCCUCCCCUCGCAAAU
Molecule: transfer RNA, 84 nt
Filed under: Brachyspira pilosicoli B2904
Lineage: Bacteria; Pseudomonadati; Spirochaetota; Spirochaetia; Brachyspirales; Brachyspiraceae
Also listed under: 1 other name
Description: tRNA-Leu
Rfam family: tRNA
About the family: Transfer RNA (tRNA) molecules are approximately 80 nucleotides in length. Their secondary structure includes four short double-helical elements and three loops (D, anti-codon, and T loops).
Source: RNAcentral